CUGUUCUGUAUUCUCUGAACUCUACCUGGUGACUGAGACAGAGGCUUGAGGAUCUCAAGGCAGGAGGAGGAACCAGGUGUUCAAUUUGGUCCAUCAUAUGCAGAUUUCUGAGCGAUACGGAGAAAAGAAAACACAGUAUUUGAAGAAAGGUAGCGAAGGGGAGAUGCAAAAGUAGUGGUAUCCACUGGAGGAUACUGAGAGGUGUACAGCCAGAUAAUCUCUUCUGCCAUCCGAAUGGUGCAUAUCUGGAAAAAUAUGUAAAUACUGAUAUGAGGCAUUCAACUAGCAACUACAUUUUUAUGGUGUGUGAAGACGUGCAUGCCAGUUACCUUCCUUUUGUGUCAUCUUAAUUUUCUGCUACCACUUUCUGAAUUGUGCUUCAAGCAGCUAACAAGCACAUAAUAGCUCUUGUAACAAGUGCCAGACAGGUCCACUGUGCAAUCAUUGUCAAUUUCUUCUGUACUGGAAACCUACUUUAGUGGUAGUAGUGUAUGAUAACCUUUGUUAAUUGGCUUAUGAAAUGAAAAGUAGAACUGGAAACAUCUCUAUUCAUGUGUUUUUCUCCCAGCCAUUUUCAUGUAUCUAAUAGAGCUGAAUAAAUAA
Long non-coding RNA from Mauremys reevesii (Reeves's turtle), 603 nucleotides. RefSeq lists it as uncharacterized. NCBI's taxonomy places the organism in Eukaryota, Metazoa, Chordata, Testudines, Geoemydidae. The record is from RefSeq and is a predicted model, not a curated record. The transcript is spliced from 3 exons.